Gigantopelta aegis is the source of this 2177-nucleotide long non-coding RNA. RefSeq lists it as uncharacterized. The record is from RefSeq and is a predicted model, not a curated record. NCBI's taxonomy places the organism in Eukaryota, Metazoa, Mollusca, Gastropoda, Neomphalida, Peltospiridae. The transcript has 3 exons.
ACUGUUGAAGGGUGAACUGUCACAUGGCUCUGUGAAAAACAAUGACCAUCUCACCAGGAUCAGCAGAAAGCUGCAUGAAACGAAACUGACAUUGACUGGAAGAACUAGUGAACUAUGGCUUCAGUAUAUGUCUGUGGUUGAUAUAAUGAAAUGCUUUCUGGAGGUUGGUUUCUUUACCGGUCAGCUGUACAUAAGAUACUCCCAUAUCUUGCUGUAGCUGGACACAACUUAUAUACAAACUCCGCUAUCUGUUCCUGCAACAGAUGACCAAACUUGACAAAACCAACCCGGUUGUCGAUAAAAGCUUCACGGAUGGACACCAUGUCGUGAGAUGAAGCAACAGAUAGUAGGCUGGCAUUUCACCAGACUUUACUAUUGAGCAGACCCGGAUGCGCGGUGUAAAACAGCAGGUGGCCUUAUUCAAGGAGCAGAGAUAACCGAAUCGCAACAUACAAUGUGAGUGCUUUCCAUGCCAGCAUGUGCUGAUAUAAACAAUGUCAUGCAGGAAGUCACUGGAACUUGGCGACUUACGAGUGAUCAACACAUAAAGUUGGGAUGAACACAAACGGCAAAGGACACAGAGGAUAUGAUUGUGAUUAUACCCUACCUUUGGGAAAGAAAUCAAUUUGCUGACGGUCUCACCCUUAGAAACAUUGCUAUUGGUGUUAUCGAAAAUUCAGUUGUCAACGUUAACACGGCAAAGACAGUCGGUCUUAAAAUUCUCAAAGCCAAACAGCAGCAGAGAUUACCCUCGAGAAGAAGUCGCUGGGGAAAAACAUGUCUGUAACGUGAAUGGCAGUCCACACUCAGUCGAUCCGCAACCUCUUUUGCAACUUUUCAUAACAGCAGCCAAUACCAUCUCUGAUGACAUAAAAUAAGGCAGCACUGGCAAAUGAGCUUUGGAAACUUGUUCUUGUCAAUGGUAAUGCUCUCAGUCCGUCAGUACAAAAUGACGUACAGUUAGUAAUUGAUGAAGGCUCCUUACUUCAUCGACUGAAUACUAUACUAAAGCUGUUGUGAUUGGUGGAUACAUGCCAAGACACACAACAAAAUACAUGACCCACCUAAGGUGUGCCAAGGUAUGGACAGCAAAUGUUAUUCAUUUUGUGCCUGAUAUGAUGCUCAGAUCUACAAAAGAGCAUUUUUUUACCAAAGAGAAAACAAGCAGCGGUUCAUUUGUGCCUUUGGCAGUUCUUUGGAAAAUACAUGCACAAUCAUUUAUGCAAAAGCUGAUGCUGAUUUACAGAUCAUCAGUGCAACAACAGGGUGAACAAAAAGCAAUGUUACUGCAAUGGUUGGAGAAGACACUGAUCUGCUCAUUUUAAGACAGUGAUGGAACAACUCUUAAACUUCUUAGCAGAAUGAAAGCUGGAAGAAUCUGUCAUAAACAGAAUUGAGGAAAACAAGAUUGAUCCACAUGUGAUACUCCUAUUGGAAGACUCUGACCUAAAGAAUUAUUUCCCCACAUAUGGUGACCGCGUUCAGAUUAAAAACGUCUGCAGAAAACACGCAAGUAAUGUCGGGAAAAAGACAAGGAAGGCAAGCUCUCCGGAAAAAGCUAGGGGUAAGACGAAAGGGAGAUGAAGUAAGCAGUAAUGAAGACGAGAGCCCAGAUGAUACUGAAGAUGCUACCCACAUGUCCAGGGGUUGAAAUUAAAAAAAAAUUACCACUAUCCCAAAGGAAUAGUGAAUUUCAAAAAACACUAUUCCAUCUAAAAAUGUACUAUCCGUUCAUUAAUGUAUCACUAGUUUUCCUGACUGUGCUACGUCGCCCUGAACAACAUUGCGUAACGAACAAUUGUUUAUAAACCAGUCUAUGCAUUACUGCAUACUAGCUGGAAUUACAAACGAACUCACUCCAAACAUUGGUCUCGAUCAAAAAGACAUUUAUUUUGUACCGGUCUUAGUAGCGCGAGGAUUUGUUCUGCAGAAAAAUGUAGCUGUAGAAAAAGUGUAAGCGAGAUAGUCACAGGCGAUUUUCGGUAUUCUGUGCUUUAUUUUCCCCUUCAUGACGGAAUAUUGGAAGAAUUGUUUUACUAUUCCGUUUCAAAAUUUACUAUUUGCGGAAUAGCGUAAAAUUCUACUCCUGAUGUCUAGAUUUGGAAAUAAAAAUGCAAAAAAAGCUAUACAAUGCAUCGAACUAAGAUGACUUCAGAAAGAACCUAUCACGAAAACUU